UUUGCCUACGGGACGCAGCAGUGGGGAAUAUUGCACAAUGGGGGAAACCCUGAUGCAGCGACGCCGCGUGAGCGAAGAAGUAUUUCGGUAUGUAAAGCUCUAUCAGCAGGGAAGAAAAAAAUGACGGUACCUGAGUAAGAAGCACCGGCUAAAUACGUGCCAGCAGCCGCGGUAAUACGUAUGGUGCAAGUGUUAUCCGGAUUUACUGGGUGUAAAGGGAGCGUAGGCGGCGCGUUAAGUCUGAUGUGAAAACCCGAGGCUCAACCACGGGAGUGCAUUGGAAACUGGCGUGCUGGAGGGCCGGG
This 305-nucleotide ribosomal RNA is filed under the name uncultured bacterium. RNAcentral describes it as "bacterial SSU rRNA". It matches the Rfam family "Bacterial small subunit ribosomal RNA", at positions 334 to 653 of the family's 1533-position model. The record is from RNAcentral.